GGUCCCCGCUGUCCGAGCUUGGGGACGCCCGGCUGCACGGCCGUGGGUCUAGGGGCGGCUGGAACUGCGGAGCGUGAGCUGGGCGUUUGUGAGAGCUGUAGGUACAACUACAAAUAUUUGUGUUAGCAUUAUAGAAAGUGAAAACGCAGUGAAAGGCUGUGCUCAUCCAGGCCACUGUGAGGGCACCCUGAUACUCGCGUGUCCGAUCAGGUACACUCAAAUUUCCACCAGGGUUUAUGACCUACUAAAAGGUGUUUCAACAUUGAUUGAAACCAAUUCUUUGCUAAGUAGUAAAUACUAUACCAAUCUCUUGGCUGUAUAGCCGCAUAUAUGCAUAUAAAUGAGAUUUUGACAUAAAAUUCAUGAAAGAGCUAAAACAGAAUGUUCAGACUAAUGUGAUAGUCCUAAAUUUACUAGUGGGUCCUGCCAGCAAGUUUCAAGAUGUGAUUUCUUAAGGCCCAAACCAGGAAAAGUUUGUGAGGAAGGUACUUGAUAUUUUAUUCUUUUUACCCAACAAGUAAUACAUAUGGACUAAAAGCUAAUAUUAGUCAUAGAAAAAGGUUUAUUAAAUGACGAACAUGAAAAAAAAAUCGUGGCAACAUCAUAUGGUAUACUGUUUAUACUAAUGUUUUGUUUGUAGUGGACAAUGUAGACCUAAUGUCUCAGGAGUAAAACAAGGAGAAAAGGAUGAAGUGUUGUUGACAUUUUUAAUUAAAAAUAGAGGUCAUAUCUACAGGCUAGGUAGGAUAGGAAAUUCUGACACCUGAUAAUUCUGUUAAUUAUCAAGCAGUCAACUUGCUGACUGGGGAAAAAAUUGGUCAAUCUAUUUAAAAAUACUUGCUGGGGUUUUUUUUUUUAGUUGUAGAUGUAGGUGAUGUAGAGGGGAAAUAACUGAAAAGAUUGUCGAUUCUUGGAUGUAGAUGUUGACAAUAAAAUGCUUUGGGACUUCCCAGAAGUCCUGCACUAAAAUAAAAAAGACUAAAUUUGUUGUUAAUAAGUUGUAUAAAUCAAGUCACCGUGACGUUGUUAAAAAACCAAAUUGCACCCCGAAGCCAUAUUAUUUGUUUGUUUGUUCAUAUAAAAUAAAAGUACACAUACUGUCUUAAUUGUUUAACUGAAACACAGAUGCUGAAUCUGAUGUAACUCAGGUAAAUAAGCUAAAUAGUAAAGGGUUCAUUGUUUUAUUUUGGUGUAUAUACAGCACUAUCCUAUGUCAUAUAUUACUUUAUCACUUAGCAAGAAUUUUUUGACUUGUCAUCAUGAACUGAAUUUUCAAGCCAGUUUCAAAUCUGACAUUAUCUGUUGUUUAAAAUACGAUGGUCUGCAAGGAUCUCAGAGUAGAAUUUGUGUAAUGUUUCCUAUAUAAUUAUGUGAAGAUUUAGCCUGCCUUUCGUAGGCCUACGAAUUUAUAAAGCAGAUUUAUUCAUUUUAUGUGUGAUAGUCCUAUGAGAGUAUUUAUACCAAACAGGUUGAUUGCAUUAGUUAGUAGUCAUUAGUAGGUAGUCAUGAAAACAGGUAAGAUAUUUUUAGCCUUCAUCCAAACUUCCAGAAAAUGAAGUAGGCGCAAUUUCCUUUGAAGACUGAAGAGUAAGAAGAAAGAGGACAUAUUUGUGCAUGAAAUGAUCUGACCUUAAAAUAAAAGCCAGCAAGGUAAUUUUUGUUUCUUUUUUUUACUCGCAUUCCCUAUGGUGAAUGUAAACCAUUUAAUCAGUUUUCUGGAUUCUCCUUGCUUGCCUGACUUUGGUCUGGCUGGGCCAAGGGAUUGGGAGAAGGAAGACUUCCUGUAAAUUCUCACCUGAUAGUUCUAGAGGAAUCUGCAGCCUGGAGAAAUAAGAAGUUCAAGCUGCUUUACAUAAUGAUGUAGAUGCUCUUUGUGAGGCACUAACUAUUCAGAUUUUAGGCAUAACACUUGACUGUGCUGGUAGUCCUAAUACUCAUGGGUGUCUCAGAAGAUGUGCAAAUUGGAGGGAAGAUUUCCAAGAUGGGAGGAAAGAUUCUUCACCUGGCUGUGGGAGAGAUGGCACACAUGAACAAAACUGAGAAGUGGCUGUGAAGCAGAGGGUUUCAGGAAGGACAGUAAGCGAAUGUAUGUGAGCGAGAAACAAAUGAAGAAAGCAAUGCUUGGAAGAAAAAUAUUCCAAAAUAGUUUUUAGAUCAGAAAAGUAGGAUUCUGAAAGAAAACAUUUAAAUGGCUUGGGGAAGUGAGAUAGUUCAGUAUGAAUAUCUUCAACCAUCUGCUGUUUAUCAAAUGACCCCAAAUGCAAAAGACCUUAUUAUAUGCUAUAUUCACACUUUGAUCUCUUUCUUCUUGGAGGAAGUUCUCUUUGCUUUGACUGAUGGUGAAAGAGGUCAUCAUAUCGACUGUUGUUACUACAUAAUUAAUCUGUAUGCACACUUACAUGAAUUCCUUCCAUAUGCUGCUAUUUACCACAUUACAAAUUUUUCAGUUUGAAAAUACAGUGAGUUUUUGUGUAUCGCUGCCCUCUACUGGAGAGAAGGUCAGAACUGCUCCAUCAGGUCUCAGUCCGAAGCCUUAGAGCCGAGGCAGUUGCUAGUGGUCCUUUUUUGUUGAUGAAUCACCUUUCCAUGACCGAGGCGUAAAGGUGUGGAGAUCUGGAUGCCCAGCAUCCAUAAAAAGAUUUCUUUUUGUCUGUGAGUUCAAAUAAAUGAUCAUACAAUUUUAUGUCUGAAGUUUAUUGACACAGGCAAAAUGAUGACUAAGCAAUGGUUGAGAUUUUAAGAUGCGUGUCUUCCAAUACCUUCUGGAAAAGAGGCAUCUAAAUUCAACACAGAGAUGCUGAAAAUUCUGAGCAGUGCUGCUCUGAAAAGUAUUUGCCUAUAACUUUAUUUAUAACCUCAUCAUUUUUCAUAUCUAAAUACUUUGGUUCACUCUCCACUGCAUUACAAAAAGAUUGCCCUCCAGCUCUUUUCCUAUCUGACCUUUCAUGCCUCUUUAUUUACCUUUCACCAUCUAUAUAAAUACUGCCAGAGUACCACAUUUAUUUUACAUUUUAUUUUCAUUUUUCUUCCAGACUGGGCAUUAGCAGAACAACAGAAACGUGAAGAGCACAGCAGUGAUAUUCUCCCAGUUCCUCAGUGUUUCAUUCUCUCCACCUACUGUCACGACAACCUAUGCACAUCCAAAGCAGUUUCUGUUGGAAUGCACUGAGUUUUUCAGCUGUCUGAGCACAUCCAUCGCCAAGGCAUGCUGAGAGCUGUGAAGGAUGAGGCCUGCUCAGAGCAUGCAGGAAAGAAAGUUUCACUAUCACGUUCAAAAUAUGUCUUCUACACAGUAAUAGUGGAAGAUACUUCUCUACUCAGACCAACUGCACAUCAAAGAGCUCACAACUGUCAACUGAGAGCCAAACUGAGACCUUGACUACCAUUGCAGCCUGGUUAUCCUCCAGGAUUCUUUGAUGGAAAGUGGCAGACUAUAGGAACAAAGAACAGUC
This is a long non-coding RNA of Pipra filicauda (Wire-tailed manakin), 3452 nucleotides long. RefSeq lists it as uncharacterized. The transcript has 3 exons. NCBI's taxonomy places the organism in Eukaryota, Metazoa, Chordata, Aves, Passeriformes, Pipridae. The record is from RefSeq and is a predicted model, not a curated record.